GACGAACGCUGGCGGCGUGCUUAACACAUGCAAGUCGAACGGGCCUUGUCCCCUUUUUUUUGGGGGUGGGGUUAGUGGCGAACGGGUGAGUAACACGUGAGUAACCUGCCCCUCACUUCUGGAUAACCGCUUGAAAGGGUGGCUAAUACGGGGUGUUCUGGCCUGCUCGCAUGGGUGGGUUUGGAAAGAUUCGACCGGUUUUGGUUGUUUUGGUGGGGGAUGGGCUCGCGGCCUAUCAGCUUGUUGGUGGGGUGAUGGCCUGCCAAGGCUUUGACGGGUAGCCGGCCUGAGAGGGUGGGCGGUCACACUGGGACUGAGACACGGCCCAGACUCCUACGGGAGGCAGCAGUGGGGAAUAUUGCACAAUGGGCGCAAGCCUGAUGCAGCGACGCCGCGUGAGGGAUGGAGGCCGUCGGGUUGUGAACCUCUUUCGCCAGUGAAGAAGGUCCUGCUCUUUGUGGUGGGGUUGACGGUAGCUGGGUUAAUGAAGCGCCGGCUAACUACGUG
Molecule: ribosomal RNA, 507 nt
Filed under: uncultured bacterium
Lineage: Bacteria
Description: partial 16S ribosomal RNA
Rfam family: Bacterial small subunit ribosomal RNA
Source: RNAcentral